CCAGGGGAUACCUUAGUACGGCGAGUGAGCGGUAAAAGCUCAAAUUUGAAAUCUGGUACUUUCAGUGCCCGAGUUGUAAUUUGUAGAAUUUGUCUUUGAUUAGGUCCUUGUCUAUGUUCCUUGGAACAGGACGUCAUAGAGGGUGAGAAUCCCGUUUGGCGAGGAUACCUUUUCUCUGUAAGACUUUUUCGAAGAGUCGAGUUGUUUGGGAAUGCAGCUCAAAGUGGGUGGUAAAUUCCAUCUAAAGCUAAAUAUUGGCGAGAGACCGAUAGCGAACAAGUACAGUGAUGGAAAGAUGAAAAGAACUUUGAAAAGAGAGUGAAAAAGUACGUGAAAUUGUUGAAAGGGAAGGGCAUUUGAUCAGACAUGGUGUUUUUUGCAUGCACUCGCCUCUCGUGGGCUUGGGCCUCUCAAAAAUUUCACUGGGCCAACAUCAAUUCUGGCAGCAGGAUAAAUCAUUAAGAAUGUAGCUACUUCGGUAGUGUUAUAGCUUUUUGGAAUACUGUUAGCCGGGAUUGAGGACUGCGCUUCGGCAAGGAUGUUGGCAUAAUGGUUAAAUGCCGCCCGUCUUGAAACAACGGACCA
Molecule: ribosomal RNA, 585 nt
Filed under: Hanseniaspora uvarum
Lineage: Eukaryota; Fungi; Ascomycota; Saccharomycetes; Saccharomycodales; Saccharomycodaceae
Description: partial large subunit ribosomal RNA
Rfam family: Eukaryotic large subunit ribosomal RNA
Source: RNAcentral